AUGGCUGAUCGCAUCAUUGGAAUGAGAAGUGCUUUGAGAGAGAACCUAGAAAAAUUAGGUUCGCCUCUUCUGUGGGAGCACAUAACCAAGCAGGUUUUGCAACUUAUCAAUUCCUAGAAUUUUUCCUGUUUCUGUGUAACUACUUGAAAUACCCUCAAUAUGAAUUCUACAAUCAUUUCUGUUAUUGCAAACAGAUCGGCAUGUUUUGCUAUAGUGGGAUGACCCCUGAACAAGUUGAUCGCUUGACAAAGGAAUUUCACAUUUACAUGACUCGUAAUGGCCGGAUUAGGUAAUACAUCUUUUUCUAAAUUUUCUAUUUUUACCUUUUUUUUAUUUGUGCAAAUUUGCCAAUAUGUAACGUUAACGCAGCAUGGCUGGAGUCAAUACGGGCAACAUUGGUUACUUGGCAAAUGCGAUUCACGAGGUCACGAAAUUGGCUUAGGGAGUUGAGAAUUUACUUAUACAUGAGAUUUAGUGUUGCUGAUUCUUAUAGGAAAUCGACUGGGUUUUAUACACAACGUUGUUCCCCAGAUCGUUCAUUAGGCCUUCAAUAAUAAGACAGAUUCAUCAAGAGCUGAUAAUUUUGAGUUCUCUUGAUUCGUUGGACAAAUUUUAUGUAUGCCAUUUGUAGCUAGUGUAGUAAUAAUUCGGUGCCAGAGGUUACAACCUAUCAAGAGAACACCAUUGUUGUAACUGCAUAUAUUUCAACAUUGAAGUUAAAGUUUCCUUCGUUCUGAUAUUCUA
Molecule: long non-coding RNA, 744 nt
Filed under: Olea europaea subsp. europaea
Lineage: Eukaryota; Viridiplantae; Streptophyta; Magnoliopsida; Lamiales; Oleaceae
Source: RNAcentral